Molecule: ribosomal RNA, 279 nt
Filed under: uncultured bacterium
Lineage: Bacteria
Description: partial 16S ribosomal RNA
Rfam family: Bacterial small subunit ribosomal RNA
Source: RNAcentral
UGCCAGCAUCCGCUGUACUACUGGAUUGGCAAGCGUUAUCCGGAAUUAUUGGGCGUAAAGAGCAUGUAGGCUGGUUUGUAAGUUGGAAGUGAAAUCCUAUGGCUUAACCAUAGAACUGCUUCCAAAACUGCAGACCUAGAGUAUGGGAGAGGUAGAUGGAAUUUCUGGUGUAGGGGUAAAAUCCGUAGAGAUCAGAAGGAAUACCGAUUGCGAAGGCGAUCUACUGGAACAUAACUGACGCUGAGAUGCGAGAGCGUGGGGAGCAAACAGGAUUAGAUA